UACAGAGGGGGCAAGCGUUGUUCGGAAUUACUGGGCGUAAAGGGCGCGUAGGCGGCCGCCUAAGUCAGACGUGAAAUCCCUCGGCUCAACCGGGUAACUGCGUCUGAUACUGGGUGGCUUGAAUCCGGGAGAGGGAUGCGGAAUUCCAGGUGUAGCGGUGAAAUGCGUAGAUAUCUGGAGGAACACCGGUGGCGAAGGCGGCAUCCUGGACCGGCAUUGACGCUGAGGCGCGAAAGCCAGGGGAGCAAACGGG
This 253-nucleotide ribosomal RNA is filed under the name uncultured bacterium. RNAcentral describes it as "partial 16S ribosomal RNA". It matches the Rfam family "Bacterial small subunit ribosomal RNA", at positions 524 to 776 of the family's 1533-position model. The record is from RNAcentral.